RNAcentral lists this long non-coding RNA (313 nucleotides) under Trifolium pratense (red clover). RNAcentral describes it as "long non-coding RNA (TPRA_LNC010926)". The record is from RNAcentral. Lineage: Eukaryota; Viridiplantae; Streptophyta; Magnoliopsida; Fabales; Fabaceae.
AUCAACAUGCAAGCUACAGAAUCAAACAAAAAUGAUUAAUCUGAUUCAUGUCACUAAGGCCCUUUUACAAAUCUUAUAUCAUUCAAAUAGCUUAGUCAACAUCCAUAGCAUGCUCACUAGUAGUGCUGCUGGUCCACAGCUUUAUGGUGCGAUCAUGGGAGACAGUAACAAUAUACCCACCAUCUGCAGAUAGUAACAAUACAUGCCAAAAUCAGUACAAGACAGGCAAAAAUACAAGGACAAUUUACAGGAUUAUAGUUGGAAGCUUUUAUACUGUGUCAAGAAACUUGUUCAAUAUAUAAUAUAAUCGGCG